Molecule: ribosomal RNA, 491 nt
Filed under: Cutibacterium acnes
Lineage: Bacteria; Bacillati; Actinomycetota; Actinomycetes; Propionibacteriales; Propionibacteriaceae
Description: bacterial SSU rRNA
Rfam family: Bacterial small subunit ribosomal RNA
Source: RNAcentral
GGCCCUGCUUUUGUGGGGUGCUCGAGUGGCGAACGGGUGAGUAACACGUGAGUAACCUGCCCUUGACUUUGGGAUAACUUCAGGAAACUGGGGCUAAUACCGGAUAGGAGCUCCUGCUGCAUGGUGGGGGUUGGAAAGUUUCGGCGGUUGGGGAUGGACUCGCGGCUUAUCAGCUUGUUGGUGGGGUAGUGGCUUACCAAGGCUUUGACGGGUAGCCGGCCUGAGAGGGUGACCGGCCACAUUGGGACUGAGAUACGGCCCAGACUCCUACGGGAGGCAGCAGUGGGGAAUAUUGCACAAUGGGCGGAAGCCUGAUGCAGCAACGCCGCGUGCGGGAUGACGGCCUUCGGGUUGUAAACCGCUUUCGCCUGUGACGAAGCGUGAGUGACGGUAAUGGGUAAAGAAGCACCGGCUAACUACGUGCCAGCAGCCGCGGUGAUACGUAGGGUGCGAGCGUUGUCCGGAUUUAUUGGGCGUAAAGGGCUCGUAGG